UUGACUAGCACAUGUGUAUGGAGUUUGUUUCGCGUCAAGUUGUAGUUGAUAUCGACCGGGGACAAAUUUAAGGUUUGAGGAAAUCCACCUCUCUGUUAUAUCGGCAUAACUCUGUUGUUUACGUUUACUGAAAACGGCAAGAGAAAUGGAUCGCUGGGCAGGACGUGUUGCCUUGGUAACAGGAGCAUCGAAAGGGAUAGGAGCAGCCACUGCACGUGCUCUGGUUAAGAAUGGUAUGGUGGUGGUUGGUUGUGCCAGACACGUGGAAGACAUGCAAUUGAAUGUAUUCUCUGUCAUCACCGUAUCCCAGCUUACCAUUCAGUCCAUACAAAAAAGGAACAUGGGUGACGGGCACAUUAUUAACAU
Long non-coding RNA from Lingula anatina, 366 nucleotides. NCBI's taxonomy places the organism in Eukaryota, Metazoa, Brachiopoda, Lingulata, Lingulida, Lingulidae. The record is from RefSeq and is a predicted model, not a curated record.